UACGAAGGGGGUUAGCGUUGUUCGGAUUUACUGGGCGUAAAGCGCACGUAGGCGGAUCGUUAAGUCGGGGGUGAAAUCCUGGAGCUCAACUCCAGAACUGCCUUCGAUACUGGCGAUCUUGAGUCCGGAAGAGGUGAGUGGAACUCCUAGUGUAGAGGUGGAAUUCGUAGAUAUUAGGAAGAACACCAGUGGCGAAGGCGGCUCACUGGUCCGGUACUGACGCUGAGGUGCGAAAGCGUGGGGAGCAAACAGG
This 253-nucleotide ribosomal RNA is filed under the name uncultured bacterium. Its description in RNAcentral is "partial 16S ribosomal RNA". It matches the Rfam family "Bacterial small subunit ribosomal RNA", at positions 524 to 776 of the family's 1533-position model. The record is from RNAcentral.